Molecule: ribosomal RNA, 481 nt
Filed under: uncultured bacterium
Lineage: Bacteria
Description: bacterial SSU rRNA
Rfam family: Bacterial small subunit ribosomal RNA
Source: RNAcentral
GAUUAACGCUGGCGGCGUGCCUAAUGCAUGCAAGUCGAACGUGGCCCCUUCGGGGGUUAACGUGGCGGACGGGUGAGGAACACGUGGGGAACCUGCCCAUUGGUGGGGGGUAGCCCUCGGAAACGAGGGGUAAUUCCGCAUACGCUGGCUGAAGGGAAGCUUUGGUCAGGAAAGGGUCUUCGGACUCGCCGAUGGAGGGGCCUGCGUCCGAUUAGCUAGUUGGUGGGGUAACGGCCUACCAAGGCGAUGAUCGGUAGCUGGUCUGAGAGGACGGCCAGCCACAGGGGAACUGAGACACGGUCCCCACUCCUACGGGAGGCAGCAGCAAGGAGUUUUCCGCAAUGGGCGAAAGCCUGACGGAGCAACGCCGCGUGGGGGAUGACGCCCUUCGGGGUGUAAACCCCUUUUCUUGGGGACGAAGCAGUGACGGUACCCGAGGAAGAAGGCCCGGCUAACUACGUGCCAGCCGCCGCGGUAAAAC